This 280-nucleotide ribosomal RNA is filed under the name uncultured bacterium. RNAcentral's name for it is "partial 16S ribosomal RNA". It matches the Rfam family "Bacterial small subunit ribosomal RNA", at positions 75 to 353 of the family's 1533-position model. The record is from RNAcentral.
CUUGCAAACUGGAGAUGGCGACCGGCGCACGGGUGAGUAACACGUAUCCAACCUGCCGAUAACUCGGGGAUAGCCUUUCGAAAGAAAGAUUAAUACCCGAUGGCAUAAUGAUUCCGCAUGGUUUCAUUAUUAAAGGAUUCCGGUAAAGGAUGGGGAUGCGUUCCAUUAGGUUGUUGGCGGGGUAACGGCCCACCAAGCCUUCGAUGGAUAGGGGUUCUGAGAGGAAGGUCCCCCACAUUGGAACUGAGACACGGUCCAAACUCCUACGGGAGGCAGCAUG